UGGAGAGUUUGAUCCUGGCUCAGAUUGAACGCUGGCGGCAGGCCUAACACAUGCAAGUCGAGCGGUAACAGGGGAAAGCUUGCUUUCUUGCUGACGAGCGGCGGACGGGUGAGUAAUGUAUGGGGAUCUGCCCGAUAGAGGGGGAUAACUACUGGAAACGGUGGCUAAUACCGCAUGACGUCUACGGACCAAAGCAGGGGCUCUUCGGACCUUGCGCUAUCGGAUGAACCCAUAUGGGAUUAGCUAGUAGGUGAGGUAAUGGCUCACCUAGGCGACGAUCUCUAGCUGGUCUGAGAGGAUGAUCAGCCACACUGGGACUGAGACACGGCCCAGACUCCUACGGGAGGCAGCAGUGGGGAAUAUUGCACAAUGGGCGCAAGCCUGAUGCAGCCAUGCCGCGUGUAUGAAGAAGGCCUUAGGGUUGUAAAGUACUUUCAGCGGGGAGGAAGGUGAUAAAGUUAAUACCUUUUAUCAAUUGACGUUUACCCCGCAGAAAAAGCACCGGCUAACUUCGUGCCAGCAGCCGCGGUA
RNAcentral lists this ribosomal RNA (531 nucleotides) under Proteus vulgaris. RNAcentral's name for it is "bacterial SSU rRNA". It matches the Rfam family "Bacterial small subunit ribosomal RNA", at positions 1 to 522 of the family's 1533-position model. The record is from RNAcentral. Lineage: Bacteria; Pseudomonadati; Pseudomonadota; Gammaproteobacteria; Enterobacterales; Morganellaceae.